GACAGAGGGGGCAAGCGUUGCUCGGAAUUACUGGGCGUAAAGGGCGCGUAGGCGGGAUGGCAAGUCGGUCGUGAAAUCCCUCGGCUCAACUGAGGAUCGUCGAUCGAUACUGCCGUUCUUGAGGAUUGCAGAGGAGACUGGAAUUCCCGGUGUAGCGGUGAAAUGUGUAGAGAUCGGGAGGAACACCGGUGGCGAAGGCGGGUCUCUGGGCAAUUACUGACGCUGAGGAGCGAAAGCGUGGGGAGCGAACAGG
RNAcentral lists this ribosomal RNA (253 nucleotides) under uncultured bacterium. RNAcentral describes it as "partial 16S ribosomal RNA". It matches the Rfam family "Bacterial small subunit ribosomal RNA", at positions 524 to 776 of the family's 1533-position model. The record is from RNAcentral.